Lontra canadensis (Northern American river otter) is the source of this 3979-nucleotide long non-coding RNA. RefSeq lists it as uncharacterized. The record is from RefSeq and is a predicted model, not a curated record. Lineage: Eukaryota; Metazoa; Chordata; Mammalia; Carnivora; Mustelidae. The transcript is spliced from 4 exons.
UCAUCUGGAAAGUUAAAAAGUUUCAUCAUUAGACCCAGACACUUCCUGUACGUCAGAUCGUAUACUGAACCAUAGAUUUACCUCUGUGGUUAUGGUUUAUACUGAAACCCACUUUCUACAAAUAGUGUACCGUCACUAAAUCAAACACUCAGAACUUCAAAAGGGACAUCUUCCUAGGCAGAAUGGGGAAUUCGGUGACCUAGUCAUGCAAUGUGGCAUUCAGAAGUAUUGCUUACUAUUUGUUUCAUAAAGAAACAAAAAAUGAUAAAAGCACAGGAUUCUUGAUUGUUUCCCAAAUCCAUUUCCAAAUGAUUUAAAGGCUCAUUGGAAAUGGUGGCUUUGUGUGGUGGGAACAGCAUACCAAACUAUCAAGAGAAGCAGUGUGUUUAGAAUCCUAGGUUUGAGAGGGACUAUGUCCAUGGUCUUCAGGGGGUCUUGAUUCCAUUUCUCAGUGAUUCCAGAGUAAUUUUGAGAGGUUUGAGAGGAAAAAAAAAAAGGAUGUAGCAUCUUGAGGAAAAUGAGGAAUGUCCUCACAUGCCAGUGAGAUCCAGGGUGACUAAAUGUUAUAAACAAUGCUCUAGGCACUUAGUGGGGUCUGUUCUUUGCCAUCCACAGACACAGGACUGAUUAAGGUCCGGAAAGACCAUUUCCCAAAAGUGGUCAAAUGAAAAAGUGCUUGCAAAACCCCAAAUAAGAGGUUGUUACUAUUCAUUUGGCUGCUGAACCAAAUCACCUUUCAUAUUGAUGGGUAGCUAGCUCUGUUCUAGAUAUUUUAGGGUACAUUUAGUGUUCCACAUUAUUAUUUUUCUUAACCAGUUGUUCCUAGCUCUGGAUUUGAUGCUGGGCAUUUAAGCCAAUUAAGAUAAGAAGGCUAUAAUGAAAUAUACGUUAGAUAAAAUUGCUGUCUACAAGUGGUGUUAGGUCCUGCACGUAGAUUUUUGGUUUCCUAAAAUCAGACAAGAAUUAGUGUAUCCUGGUAAAAAAAACGUGGACCUUGGAAUCAGACCCAUUUCCUUAUGGUUCUGUGUUAUUUAGCUUCUCAGAUUCUGUUUCCUCACUCACACAAUUAGGAUGAUAAUUCCUAUCUCAUAGGUGGAGAAUUGAAUAGAUAUAUGUAAACUUUUUGGGAGAGUGUCACAUAGUGGUUGCUUAAGUCUCACUUUUCCCUUGGAUUAAUUUUUGGUACAAAAUAUCCUGAGAGAACAUAAAACAAGAAUAGCUUACCUAGGUUCAGUUUUAAAGUUGUUACUUGCUCAAAACAUGGCAGUUUUCUUUUAAAUCAACAUACUAUUUUUAGGCUCCUGUAAAAUGCCUUCUGUUAUAAUUUAGAAGAGAAUUUACAAGGAGUAUUUCCAAAAGGUAGCUUUUUAUAAAGAAUUAGGAUAUUCCAGCUAGCCUCUGAAGUUUCCUUAGAUGAAUGACAGUCUUUUAAUUGUUACACACUACACUAUACUUAACAGAUUCAGCUGAGAAAAGAGAACCUAAUUUGACAUGUGGGAUAAAUGAACAAUUAGAUUAAAAUAUAAUCUGUAUUCAUUAAUCUUAUUACCUAAUACUUUGGAUACUUCACUUAGAUCCUCCUCCCUUCCCCAACUGACAGACACACAGAUGGACACACACACUCACACACAAACACACUCUCUCUUCCCUUGGCAGCUAACCCUGAGAGGGAAUCUAACAAAACUUCACAAAGUUUAACAAUCUCAAGCAUUCUAAUGGAUUUAGGAAUCCUGGGGGGCUCAACCACUAUUGAAGGCUACUUUAUUUAGGCACUUUCAUUUAAAGUAACUGAGGUCUUUCAACUGUCAAAGUUGGCUAUUAAACCCUUUGCUGUAAUUUUUCUAUAAAUACUUCCAUUUGAGAUGACCUUUUAUGUUUGCAUAUGUUCAUGCCUGUUGGUUCAGUCCGCUUUUAACUUUCAAUCUGUUGGCUAUUCAGUCAUUCUCUUAAACAGAAAAGCCUCUACACUGUAUUUCCUAUAACAAACGAGUCUUUAGCUGAUGGCACACCUCCCUUCCCACUUCUGCAGCCAUCACCUGACAACUCAUUGCUGCUCCUAUUUUAACUUUCUAGGUUUGCCUUUGUAAGAUAAUGAUCACAUCACUGGCCCUCCCUCCUAAACCUUCAAACUCCCUACUGAUGUAGGUUAGUGGCCAAAUUCUUUGCUCAGGCAAUCUUAUUCCUGGUGAUUUCAAGUACCCAGUAUAUACCUAAUUUUGUUUUCUCUUUCCAUAGAAUAGUAGUUCUUCAACUUUGGCAUAAGCCAGAAUCCCACAGAAGGUAUGUUAAAACAGAUCAAAGGGCCCACAAACAGAGUUUCUGAUUCAGUAGGCCUGGGGUAGGGCCCAUGAAUUUGCAUUUCUAACAAGUAACAAGUAAGGUUUAUGUUGUUGAUCUGGGACCACACUGCUGUUCUAGAAGAACUUUCCACGGAUUCUCUCUGAAAUGGUUCAAAGAUCACAUCAGGUGAUCUUGGACACAAAGUAAUUUGGUAUUCGCUCUGGACAUUUGAAACAAAACGACUCAAAGAGAUCCAUCAGAUUCUGAUCUAAGCAAGUGACCAAACGACCACAGAUUCCCACCUGCUUUCAUGAUCUAUUUGAUUCUUGGAGUCCUAAGGAAGAAUUUCAGAAAGGUCUUCGAACAAAUGCAGAAUGCACAGACUUCACUUAACAGUUGUUUACUGAACAUUUCUAAUUUCUGUGCCUGGCCUUGGUCUGAGUGCUGAGGGUCUCAAGACAAGCAAGACCAGGUCCCUGCCCCAGGUGCUUCAGCGCACAGACUGUGGUCAUGGGGCAGUCACUUCUGAGGGGCUCCUGACUGGUGACCGCCUAAUGAGUACCUGCUGGAUGAAUGAAUGGGGUCCAUCAAAGUAAGGAUGGCCGCUAUUGGCAUCUGUGCUCCUCGUCUCAAUGGCUAAGAAGAUGCACUCAGAUCUCCUUUGUCUUUGCUUUACUUGUGCUUCUCUGCAUGAGAUACCUGUAAUCCUAGGGUAGGAAGGCCUGGCCCGGAGGUUCAACUGAAGAAGCUGUUCUAAGAAAGAUGACUGAGGUAAUCAGUCACCUUCCUCAGAGAAAGUCCACUCAGGUAGAAUUUUAUUUACUAUGUAAACAAUGGAACAUUUAUUGCCGAAUCCCUUGUUCCUUUAUAGCCAGGCUAGAGAAUUUAGAUUUCUUGGUGGGGGACAUGAGGGUAAAAGAAAUGGUCAUGGGAGAGAAGAUGGAUCCUGGAUAAAGAGACCAGUGGCUUCUCUAUCCUUCACAGCCCCCUGAGGAGAAUCAAAAAGGUAAAGACUGUCCCUUUAACUCAGGUGGUGAGUGUGUUUCUCUUUAUUUUACCAAGCAGGAUGACAGACCGGGUUUUCCCAGAAAGCCUGGGGAUGCGCAGGGGAUAGGAGUGACUAGAGAAGGGAGGAUGGCAGGGGAGAUCUGAAGAUCAUCCUUAACUUUCCAAAAGCAAGAAUAUAGGACACUUAGUAAACUUUAAAUUACUUGCCCCUUUUAUGGAAGGGGACAAGGUUAUUUUUACUGAAGAGAACUAAAAUAAUUCACUUAAGAGCUCACUUUUGUAAGAUCACAGCAAAAAACAAAACCCAGAAUCUGUUUGUUGCUUUAGGUGACAAAUGGUGAUAAUGAUCUCUAUGCUCAGUUAGUUUAGAAUUGCUCUUUAUAGCAAAUAUUAUAUGCUAAAAACAAGUACACUAAAAAAUGGAUCCCAACUAUGGACACGGUAAAGAGAUCAGGGGUUGGGGAGAGGGAGGGAUGAGGUGGAGCACAGAGGAUUUUUAGAAUGGUUAAACUACUAUUUGCUGCUGUAAUGGUGGAUACAUGUCAUUAUACAUUUGUUAAAAUCUACAGAAGGUGUAACACCACGAGUGAACCCCAAAGGAAACUCUGAUCUAUAGUUAAUAGUAAUCUGUCUAUUGGUUCAUCAACUGAAACAAAUAUACCAGAGUAAAAAAUGUUAAUAACAGGGGAAA